Molecule: non-coding RNA, 248 nt
Filed under: Bacteroides stercoris
Lineage: Bacteria; Pseudomonadati; Bacteroidota; Bacteroidia; Bacteroidales; Bacteroidaceae
Description: Bacterial small subunit ribosomal RNA
Rfam family: Bacterial small subunit ribosomal RNA
Source: Rfam by way of RNAcentral
AAAGCCUCUCUCAGUUCGGAUUGGAGUCUGCAACCCGACUCCAUGAAGCUGGAUUCGCUAGUAAUCGCGCAUCAGCCACGGCGCGGUGAAUACGUUCCCGGGCCUUGUACACACCGCCCGUCAAGCCAUGAAAGCCGGGGGUACCUGAAGUACGUAACCGCGAGGAGCGUCCUAGGGUAAAACUGGUGAUUGGGGCUAAGUCGUAACAAGGUAGCCGUACCGGAAGGUGCGGCUGGAACACCUCCUUU